AAGCGGUCACCGCUCAAUCGCCCUCGCGGGCGAACCGGGGAACCACCAUCUUCGGGCUGGUUCGAUGUUUCAUCGGACGAGUUCGAAUCGGGGUGAAUCGCGUAUCGAGUCGGGUGUGUUCGGCAAUGGACACGUCACGAUGACACGCGCGUAGGGCCAUUCUUCCGGCCCGAACCCGACAGCUAACUCGGUAGGCGGUAGAGGGAGAACUG
This 212-nucleotide small RNA is filed under the name Gordonia bronchialis. RNAcentral describes it as "c-di-AMP sequence". It matches the Rfam family "c-di-AMP riboswitch aptamer (ydaO/yuaA leader)". From Rfam's summary of the family: This family represents a conserved RNA structure found upstream of the ydaO and yuaA genes in Bacillus subtilis and related genes in other bacteria. The ydaO/yuaA element is thought to act as a genetic "off" switch for the ydaO and yuaA genes in its native state. Lineage: Bacteria; Bacillati; Actinomycetota; Actinomycetes; Mycobacteriales; Gordoniaceae. The record is from RNAcentral. RNAcentral also lists the same sequence under 1 other name.